Molecule: long non-coding RNA, 210 nt
Filed under: Elaeis guineensis (African oil palm)
Lineage: Eukaryota; Viridiplantae; Streptophyta; Magnoliopsida; Arecales; Arecaceae
Description: long non-coding RNA (EGUI_LNC054261)
Source: RNAcentral
CUGGACCACAAGGAGAUCCUCAACUAAAAGUAUCUAAGGAUGGGGUACAUCCACUAUACAUGCCUUCUUUCUAAAGGUCAGAUAGAGUGUGGCAGGCACCUUUAAGAUAUGAUUUUAUCAUUGAAAACAUUAAGGAGAUCAGCAUCAUUGAUGAUGAUGAUCCAUUGACCUAUUAGGAAGUUGUCAUGAAUAGAGACUCUAACAGGUGGC